This 446-nucleotide ribosomal RNA is filed under the name uncultured bacterium. RNAcentral describes it as "bacterial SSU rRNA". It matches the Rfam family "Bacterial small subunit ribosomal RNA", at positions 354 to 796 of the family's 1533-position model. The record is from RNAcentral.
GUGGGGAAUUUUGCGCAAUGGGGGAAACCCUGACGCAGCAACGCCGCGUGGGUGACGAAGGCUUUCGGGUUGUAAAGCCCUGUCAGGAGGAACGAAUGGUUGGGUUAACGGCCUAACUUUGACGGUACCUCUAGAGGAAGCACUGGCUAACUCCGUGCCAGCAGCCGCGGUAAUACGGAGAGUGCAAGCGUUGUUCGGAAUCAUUGGGCGUAAAGCGCGUGUAGGCGGCCGAGUAAGUUGGGUGUGAAAGCCCUUGGCUUAACUGAGGAAUUGCGCUCAAAACUACUUGGCUUGAGUACAGGAGGGGAAGGCGGAAUUCCCAGUGUAGAGGUGAAAUUCGUAGAUAUUGGGAGGAACACCGGUGGCGAAGGCGGCCUUCUGGACUGAUACUGACGCUAAGACGCGAAAGCGUGGGGAGCAAACAGGAUUAGAAACCCUGGUAGUCC